RNAcentral lists this transfer RNA (63 nucleotides) under Ridgeia piscesae. Its description in RNAcentral is "tRNA-Phe". It matches the Rfam family "tRNA". Rfam says of the family: Transfer RNA (tRNA) molecules are approximately 80 nucleotides in length. The record is from RNAcentral. Lineage: Eukaryota; Metazoa; Annelida; Polychaeta; Sabellida; Siboglinidae.
GCCUUGGUAGCUUAAACUUAAAGCAAAGCAUUGAAGCUGCUUAGAUGAUCUUAUCCCAAAGCA